This 310-nucleotide ribosomal RNA is filed under the name Nocardia sp. RNAcentral describes it as "bacterial SSU rRNA". It matches the Rfam family "Bacterial small subunit ribosomal RNA", at positions 1110 to 1415 of the family's 1533-position model. Lineage: Bacteria; Bacillati; Actinomycetota; Actinomycetes; Mycobacteriales; Nocardiaceae. The record is from RNAcentral.
UUAUGUUGCCAGCGCGUAAUGGCGGGGACUCCUGAGAGACUGCCGGGGUCAACUUGGAGGAAGGUGGGGACGACGCCAAGUCAUCAUGCCCCUUAUGUCCAGGGCUUCACACAUGCUACAAUGGCCGGUACAGAGGGCUGCGAUACCGUGAGGUGGAGCGAAUCCCUUAAAGCCGGUCUCAGUUCGGAUCGGGGUCUGCAACUCGACCCCGUGAAGUGGAGUCGCUAGUAAUCGCUAGAUCAGCAACGCUGCGGUGAAUACGUUCUCACGGGCCUUGUACACACCGCCCGUCUACGUCAUGAAAAGUCGG